GUGACAUACCUACAACUGUUGCUUCGGCGGGUAGGCCGUCCCCUGAAAAGGACGCCUCCCGGCCCGGACCGGACCCCCCGUGGGGCCGGACUCGGCGCCCGCCGGAGGAUAACCAAACGCUAUUUUAACGACGUUUCUUCUGAGUGGCAUAAGCAAAAUAAUCAAAACUUUUAACAACGGAUCUCUUGGUUCUGGCAUCGAUGAAGAACGCAGCGAAAUGCGAUAAGUAAUGUGAAUUGCAGAAUUCAGUGAAUCAUCGAAUCUUUGAACGCACAUUGCGCCCGCCAGCAUUCUGGCGGGCAUGCCUGUUCGAGCGUCAUUUCAACCCUCAAGCUCUGCUUGGUGUUGGGGCUCUACGGUCGACGUAGGCCCUCAAAGGUAGUGGCGGACCCUCCCGGAGCCUCCUUUGCGUAGUAACAUUUCGUCUCGCAGUGGGAUCCGGAGGGACUCUUGCCGUAAAACCCCCCAAUUUUUCAAGGUUGACCUCGGAUCAGGUAGGAAUACCCGCUGAACUUAAGCAUAUCAAUAAGGCGGAGGAA
This 539-nucleotide ribosomal RNA is filed under the name fungal sp. TA317. RNAcentral's name for it is "eukaryotic LSU rRNA". The stretch from base 166 to 319 matches the Rfam family "5.8S ribosomal RNA". Lineage: Eukaryota; Fungi. The record is from RNAcentral.